UCUUAAUGGGGUGACUGCGUACCUUUUGUAUAAUGGGUCAGCGACUUAUAUUCUGUAGCAAGGUUAACCGAAUAGGGGAGCCGAAGGGAAACCGAGUCUUAACUGGGCGUUAAGUUGCAGGGUAUAGACCCGAAACCCGGUGAUCUAGCCAUGGGCAGGUUGAAGGUUGGGUAACACUAACUGGAGGACCGAACCGACUAAUGUUGAAAAAUUAGCGGAUGACUUGUGGCUGGGGGUGAAAGGCCAAUCAAACCGGGAGAUAGCUGGUUCUCCCCGAAAGCUAUUUAGGUAGCGCCUCGUGAAUUCAUCUCCGGGGGUAGAGCACUGUUUCGGCAAGGGGGUCAUCCCGACUUACCAACCCGAUGCAAACUGCGAAUACCGGAGAAUGUUAUCACGGGAGACACACGGCGGGUGCUAACGUCCGUCGUGAAGAGGGAAACAACCCAGACCGCCAGCUAAGGUCCCAAAGUCAUGGUUAAGUGGGAAACGAUGUGGGAAGGCCCAGACAGCCAGGAUGUUGGCUUAGAAGCAGCCAUCAUUUAAAGAAAGCGUAAUAGCUCACUGGUCGAGUCGGCCUGCGCGGAAGAUGUAACGGGGCUAAACCAUGCACCGAAGCUGCGGCAGCGACACUAUGUGUUGUUGGGUAGGGGAGCGUUCUGUAAGCCUGCGAAGGUGUACUGUGAGGUAUGCUGGAGGUAUCAGAAGUGCGAAUGCUGACAUAAGUAACGAUAAAGCGGGUGAAAAGCCCGCUCGCCGGAAGACCAAGGGUUCCUGUCCAACGUUAAUCGGGGCAGGGUGAGUCGACCCCUAAGGCGAGGCCGAAAGGCGUAGUCGAUGGGAAACAGGUUAAUAUUCCUGUACUUGGUGUUACUGCGAAGGGGGGACGGAGAAGGCUAUGUUGGCCGGGCGACGGUUGUCCCGGUUUAAGCGUGUAGGCUGAUUUUCCAGGCAAAUCCGGAAAAUCAAGGCUGAGGCGUGAUGACGAGGCACUACGGUGCUGAAGCAACAAAUGCCCUGCUUCCAGGAAAAGCCUCUAAGCAUCAGGUAACAUCAAAUCGUACCCCAAACCGACACAGGUGGUCAGGUAGAGAAUACCAAGGCGCUUGAGAGAACUCGGGUGAAGGAACUAGGCAAAAUGGUGCCGUAACUUCGGGAGAAGGCACGCUGAUAUGUAGGUGAAGUCCCUCGCGGAUGGAGCUGAAAUCAGUCGAAGAUACCAGCUGGCUGCAACUGUUUAUUAAAAACACAGCACUGUGCAAACACGAAAGUGGACGUAUACGGUGUGACGCCUGCCCGGUGC
This 1300-nucleotide ribosomal RNA is filed under the name Escherichia coli. Its description in RNAcentral is "partial 23S ribosomal RNA". It matches the Rfam family "Bacterial large subunit ribosomal RNA", at positions 583 to 1869 of the family's 2925-position model. Lineage: Bacteria; Pseudomonadati; Pseudomonadota; Gammaproteobacteria; Enterobacterales; Enterobacteriaceae. The record is from RNAcentral.